GAAGUAGCUCAAUGGUAGAGCAACCGGCUGUUAACCGGUAGGUCGUGGGUUCGAGCCCCACCUUC
Molecule: transfer RNA, 65 nt
Filed under: human gut metagenome
Also listed under: 2 other names
Rfam family: tRNA
About the family: Transfer RNA (tRNA) molecules are approximately 80 nucleotides in length.
Source: RNAcentral